AGGACACGCCCGCUUACUUUGAGAGGGGAGUGGGAGAGAGGGAAGCGACCGCGGCAAUGCGUGGAAGCCGUGACAGAGGGAUGGCGAGGCCGUGUUGGAAGCUCUGUUUGUGGCGGAUGGAGCCCUCUCUCUUCAAGAAAUCCUGACCCUACCCUUCUUCCGUCCCGCCGUUCCCCCUUCCAAUCCCCGUAGGGAUUCUUGGAGAUGGGGGAGUUGCCGAAGCUGCUGUACAUUGUGGUGGUGGACGAAGGAACGAGGAGAGGGGACGAGAGGGAGAGCUUGUCGUUCCGGUACACGCGGCCGGUGCUGCAGAGCACGCUCCAGCUCAUGGGAUGCAAGGCUCGCCAUGCCUUCAAGAUUAGCCGAAGAGUAUUUGAAGUGAUGAGGAGUGAAAACAUGUCAAAAUGUGAUGCCUUGGAAAGGCCAUUUAGUAAAGGAAAUGAAUGCAAAGAAAAUGAACAUUGCCAAGCUGGUUGCUUGAGUCAGGAGGAGGUCAGCAGCCACUUGACUCGAGAGGGUAUGGUUACCAGUAGCACAAUACCAUUUGAAUUGUACAAAAGACUAGCAACUGUUGCUGUUACACGAGAGAACUUUUUAAAUGUUGUUUGUGAUGCUCUAUCCAUAUAUAAGUAUAUUGGUCCCAAUCAACGAGCUGACUUGCUUCUAGCAUGCAGAAUUCGUGAAAGAAAGGAAUCUGUAACAGUUCUUUUGUGCGGCACAAGUGGGUGUGGCAAAUCUACUUUGUCAGCUUUGCUGGGAAGCAGAUUGGGUGUCACAACUGUCGUUUCUACGGAUUCGAUACGCCACAUGAUGAGGAGCUUUAUGGAUGAAAAACAAAAUCCGCUUCUCUGGGCUUCAACAUAUCAUGCUGGUGAAUGCUUAGAUCCAGUGGCAGUCGCCAAAGCAAAGGCUAAACGGAAAGCAAAGAAGCAUGCUGUUGUCUCUCACCCGAUGGUUGAGGAAUUAUCUGAUGGUACUUUAAAUGAAUCUGAUGGUCAGUCUGCAGAUCCAGUUUCUGGAACCAAACUGAUUGGCAAAAAGCAAAUGGCCAUUGAGGGAUUCAAAGCACAAAGUGAGUUGGUUAUAGAAAGCCUUGAUCAGUUGAUUACUGCAUGGGAAGAGCGAAAAGAAUCUGUUGUUGUUGAGGGUGUCCACCUAAGCUUUAAUUUUGUGAUGGGACUUAUGAAGAAGCAUCCUUCAAUUAUUCCUUUCAUGAUUUACAUUGCAAAUGAGGACAAACACAUGGAACGAUUUGCAGUACGUGCAAAAUAUAUGACCCUGGAUCCAGCCAAAAAUAAGUAUGUUAAGUACAUCCGCAAUAUCAGAUCCAUUCAGGAGUAUCUCUGUAAUCGUGCUGACAAGCAUCUGGUGCCAAAAAUUAAUAACACAAAUGUUGAUCGGAGUGUGGCAGCUAUCCAUGCCACCAUUUUCAGUUGCCUACAUAGGCGAGAGGCAGGAGAGCAGCUGUAUGAUACAACCACUAAUACGGCGUCUGUAAUACGUGAAGAAUAUAGAAACCAGUGUGCUGCUAACUCUCUGAGUUCGAAGGGAAUGUUUCAAUUGAUCCAGAGGAAUGGGUCCUUUAGGCAUUUGAUAGCGCUUAUUAAUGCCGAUGGAUCUGUUGCCAAGGCUUGGCCUAUUGAGUCAGUUGGUGGUCAUGGAAAGGCCACAUCUGGAAUGGGCAGUGAGAAGUGUGUGGGAAACCCUAUGUAUGGUCCCAUGCAGAUUGAGAAGGCAGAGCGGGUUAAUCUUCAUUUUGGUAAUUUUGGGAUCAGUGCAUGGCCAAGUGAUAUAGGUGGUACAAGUCACACAGGAAGCAUCAAUGACUCAAGGGGUGAUGGCACUAACACUGGUAGUAGAUAUUAUUCUUCCUGUUGCAGCUCUCCAAAGAUGUCAGGUGGGCCUUCUAAAGAGCUCAAGGAGGAACUGUCGGUACCUGGUAGUGAAGAAGAAGCUGAUGAUCCACCUGGUGGCGACAGUGAUGAGGAUCUAACUGACAAUAAGGAGUUCCAGGAUGAGAUGGAAGGUUCUGUCGAUGAGAACUCAGCCAAGACUGAUGAGGAGUAUGAUGACUUGGCCAUGCGAGAUGGCCUAGGGAAUGGUUACUGGUCUGAAAAUGAUGAGGGCCCGAAUAAUGAAAAGAAACUAGUAGUCAAGAAAAUGGAAACAGCGGAUGACUCAGGAAUGACAGAGAAAUACCGACAUAAUCUGGAUCUCUUCUUGAAGAUGAGUGAGCAUUUUGCUGAACUGCCAUAUUCCUACUCCCUCCUCUCAGAGAGAGGUUUGGACAUGAAAAUGACAAAAGAUUCAUUCAGUGGAUCUUUGCGAUUCCAAAGCCAGACGCAAAGCAUUCCAGCCAUAGGUGAGUCUGAGCCUAUGUACAGGGGCCCGGUCCUUUAGUAGCACCUCAGACGUGGUAUAUUGGACCAAAGGACUGCUGGACGAAGUUUUUGUAGCGAGGUCUGAAAGCGUGAGGCGGUACUAAAUCUAUCUCCUGUUUUGCUUGUUGACAUCGUCAGGUUUGAGAGGAUUUGGUCGACAUUAGCUUGUCUGCCUUUGAUUAUCUUCUAUGGCAUUUCUCAGGGGUUCCCAACACCUUAAUCUUGCUCAAUCUGGGAACGUAACGUUCUGUUGUGAAGAUGGGUAUCCAUCAGUGCUGUGCACUGCUUGGAAAGAUAGGAAUAUUCUCAGAAUUUUCUACCGACAAAGGGGUGAUGUAGGAAUACCCAGUCAUGCUGUUCGCUCCAUCGGCAAAGUGUGCAUUAAAUGAUCUGAGGCCCGAGGGAUGCCAUGGAGGCUGUUUAAAUUGGUAACAUUGGGUUCUGUAGAAGGAUGGAGAGGUAUCCAUGGUAGAUCCAGGUCACACAUUUUAAGAUAUAACAUCCAAAAAUUUGAAUCUGGAAAUUCCUCAGGUAGCGAAGUGGUGUGACUAGGGCAGUACUCAGUUCACCAAGUUAGGGAUCAUAUCCUAAAAGCUUUGGGCCCAUUGGCCUAUUUGGCAUUGUCGCUUCUAUGUUUCCGUUGAAAUGUCGUCAGAUGGAGAUUGAUGUUAAAGAUAGCAUUUGGCAGAUCUUCCGCUAUUACUUUCUUUUAUGUUUCACUCCUAUCUGAAAGCAUUUAAUCUUUGCUACCAAAAGCUUCUUGUAGUCUUCGUCACUGUUCAUUCUGGUUUUCUGUAAACAAUAAUACAAAGCAAAAACGAUACCAAUGUGCUCUUACAGAAACAGAAUGACAGUCACGGGCCUGUCCUGUUUUAUAAGAGAAUCUCCGGUGGAUGGUUCCAAGAUGUGGAAAGUCAAACCCACGUUAAUCAGUUGGCUAAACAGAGGCUUGCUGAGUCAAAUUUUUAGAAUAUAUUAUCACUGGCUGAAUAAUGAUCAACCAGCUUUGAUGGUAAGCCAACCGCAUCCAAUCGUGACUAUGGUUUCAUGGCUAAGAGUUUGUUUGUUGCAAGAAAGUGGGUGAAAAUUAAAGUGCCUUUCUCGAGAACUAACUUUAGGACAAAGUGACUUCAAGGGCAAGUGUAAUUCUGUUACUCAUAUUGUUUGAUAAGUGAAUAGUGAAAAGUGCAAUUUUGAGACCGAGUAUUCGGUGGUGGGAUGGUCAACCCAGAAAAACAAUCAACAAAAACGAUUUGCUUUUACCUAAUUUAACAAAGCAAAAAUCGAGAAGAAAAUUAUUUUGCAAAAUAACCCAUGAGAAACUUGCAAAUUGACGUUCAUCUUUCACAAGAAUAUCCGACAGAACCUCAUGUAAGCAGUGGAAUUUUUGUGAACUGUAACAUGCAUGAAACCACUGCACCAUUCCAUAACCGACCGGUCUGGA
Elaeis guineensis (African oil palm) is the source of this 3825-nucleotide RNA transcript. It is a transcript of the gene named P-loop NTPase domain-containing protein LPA1, with no coding region annotated. NCBI's taxonomy places the organism in Eukaryota, Viridiplantae, Streptophyta, Magnoliopsida, Arecales, Arecaceae. The record is from RefSeq and is a predicted model, not a curated record.